UUAGGGGCCGGUUAGGGGUUAGAGGUUAAGAUCAGUUAGGGAUUUAAGGUUUAUGGAUUUAGGGGUUAGGGGUUAGGUUUAGAUUAAUUAGUGUGUUUUAAUUUAUAUAUUAAAUAAUGUUUAGGGGUUAGGGAUUAAGGGUUAGGUUAGGGUUUAGGGAUUAGAGAUUUAGGGUUGGGUUAGGGUUUAAGAUUUAGAUUAAUUAGUGUUUUUUAUUUUAUAUAUUAAAUAAGGUUUAGGGGUACUUAGUGGUUAG
RNAcentral lists this long non-coding RNA (256 nucleotides) under Gossypium raimondii (Peruvian cotton). RNAcentral describes it as "long non-coding RNA (GRAI_LNC002059)". The record is from RNAcentral. Lineage: Eukaryota; Viridiplantae; Streptophyta; Magnoliopsida; Malvales; Malvaceae.